RNAcentral lists this ribosomal RNA (914 nucleotides) under uncultured bacterium. RNAcentral describes it as "bacterial SSU rRNA". It matches the Rfam family "Bacterial small subunit ribosomal RNA", at positions 8 to 917 of the family's 1533-position model. The record is from RNAcentral.
AGAGUUUGAUCCUGGCUCAGAUUGAACGCUGGCGGCAGGCCUAACACAUGCAAGUCGAGCGGAUGAAGGGAGCUUGCUCCUGGAUUCAGCGGCGGACGGGUGAGUAAUGCCUAGGAAUCUGCCUGGUAGUGGGGGAUAACGUCCGGAAACGGGCGCUAAUACCGCAUACGUCCUGAGGGAGAAAGUGGGGGAUCUUCGGACCUCACGCUAUCAGAUGAGCCUAGGUCGGAUUAGCUAGUUGGUGGGGUAAAGGCCUACCAAGGCGACGAUCCGUAACUGGUCUGAGAGGAUGAUCAGUCACACUGGAACUGAGACACGGUCCAGACUCCUACGGGAGGCAGCAGUGGGGAAUAUUGGACAAUGGGCGAAAGCCUGAUCCAGCCAUGCCGCGUGUGUGAAGAAGGUCUUCGGAUUGUAAAGCACUUUAAGUUGGGAGGAAGGGCAGUAAGUUAAUACCUUGCUGUUUUGACGUUACCAACAGAAUAAGCACCGGCUAACUUCGUGCCAGCAGCCGCGGUAAUACGAAGGGUGCAAGCGUUAAUCGGAAUUACUGGGCGUAAAGCGCGCGUAGGUGGUUCAGCAAGUUGGAUGUGAAAUCCCCGGGCUCAACCUGGGAACUGCAUCCAAAACUACUGAGCUAGAGUACGGUAGAGGGUGGUGGAAUUUCCUGUGUAGCGGUGAAAUGCGUAGAUAUAGGAAGGAACACCAGUGGCGAAGGCGACCACCUGGACUGAUACUGACACUGAGGUGCGAAAGCGUGGGGAGCAAACAGGAUUAGAUACCCUGGUAGUCCACGCCGUAAACGAUGUCGACUAGCCGUUGGGAUCCUUGAGAUCUUAGUGGCGCAGCUAACGCGAUAAGUCGACCGCCUGGGGAGUACGGCCGCAAGGUUAAAACUCAAAUGAAUUGACGGG